ACCAUGGAUAGCUCAGUUGGUAGAGCGUGAGAUUGUUAAUCUCAGUGUCAUGGGUUUGAGCCCCGCAUUGGGCA
Molecule: non-coding RNA, 74 nt
Organism: Podarcis lilfordi (Lilford's wall lizard)
Lineage: Eukaryota; Metazoa; Chordata; Lepidosauria; Squamata; Lacertidae
Source: the annotation of a GenBank genome assembly